Molecule: ribosomal RNA, 550 nt
Filed under: uncultured bacterium
Lineage: Bacteria
Description: bacterial SSU rRNA
Rfam family: Bacterial small subunit ribosomal RNA
Source: RNAcentral
UAGGGAAUNNUUGGCAAUGGGGGCAACCCUGACCGAGCAACGCCGCGUGAGUGAAGAAGGUUUUCGGAUUNUUAAGCUCUGUUGUAAGAGAAGAACGAGUGUGAGAGUGGAAAGUUCACACUGUGACGGUAACUUACCAGAAAGGGACGGCUAACUACGUGCCAGCAGCCGCGGUAAUACGUAGGUCCCGAGCGUUAUCCGGAUUUAUUGGGCGUAAAGCGAGCGCAGGCGGUUAGAUAAGUCUGAAGUUAAAGGCUGUGGCUUAACCAUAGUACGCUUUGGAAACUGUUUAACUUGAGUGCAGAAGGGGAGAGUGGAAUUCCAUGUGUAGCGGUGAAAUGCGUAGAUAUAUGGAGGAACACCGGUGGCGAAAGCGGCUCUCUGGUCUGUAACUGACGCUGAGGCUCGAAAGCGUGGGGAGCAAACAGGAUUAGAUACCCUGGUAGUCCACGCCGUAAACGAUGAGUGCUAGGUGUUGGGUCCUUUCCGGGACUCAGUGCCGCAGCUAACGCAUUAAGCACUCCGCCUGGGGAGUACGACCGCAAGGUUG